GGAGUACGGUCGCAAGAUUAAAACUCAAAGGAAUUGAUCGGGGACCCGCACANNCGGUGGAUGAUGUGGAUUAAUUCGAUGCAACGCGAAAAACCUUACCUACCCUUGACAUGGUCGGAACCCUGCUGAAAGGUGGGGGUGCUCGAAAGAGAACCGAUACACAGGUGCUGCAUGNCUGUCGUCAGCUCGUGUCGUGAGAUGUUGGGUUAAGUCCCGCAACGAGCGCAACCCUUGUCCUUAGUUGCUACGCAAGAGCACUCUAAGGAGACUGCCGGUGACAAACCGGAGGAAGGUGGGGAUGACGUCAAGUCCUCAUGGCCCUUAUGGGUAGGGCUUCAUCACGUCAUACAAUGGUCGGAACAGAGGGCUGCCAACUCCGUGAGGGGGAGCUAAUCCCAGAAAACCGAUCGUAGUCCGGAUCGUAGUCUGCAACUCGAGCUAGCGUGAAGUCUGGAAUCGCUAGUAAUCGCGGGAUCAGCAUG
RNAcentral lists this ribosomal RNA (482 nucleotides) under Burkholderiaceae bacterium L616_RBt. RNAcentral's name for it is "bacterial SSU rRNA". It matches the Rfam family "Bacterial small subunit ribosomal RNA", at positions 877 to 1356 of the family's 1533-position model. The record is from RNAcentral. Lineage: Bacteria; Pseudomonadati; Pseudomonadota; Betaproteobacteria; Burkholderiales; Burkholderiaceae.